GAGGGCAUACAAUACGCAAAAUCAGGGUUACAAACUUCUAUUCUCAAUUUUAUGAGAUUGAGAUAGGGAUGAAGAGAAUAUGCAUAAUCCAACACUUGAUCUGACAUUUCAAUGUGAAGGAUAAUUUCUGGUUCUGAGUCUGUAAAUUAUCAAUUUUCAUUUCAGUAUUAGUUUAGUUUCUUCUAUAAAUUUGAUAUUUCAAUCAAGGAUAAUUUCUGGUUCUGAGUCUGUAAAUUACCAACUUUCAUUUCAGUAUUGGUUUAGUUUCUUCUAUAAAUUUGAUAUUUCAAUCAGAUGAUGAGACUCAGAAAAUCUUAGGACACCUUCCUACACAGUUAUAAAAUAACUGUGGAUGAGAAAGACUUUCUAUCUCUGAUGAUAAGUAUAAUAAUGGGAUA
Molecule: non-coding RNA, 398 nt
Organism: Amborella trichopoda
Lineage: Eukaryota; Viridiplantae; Streptophyta; Magnoliopsida; Amborellales; Amborellaceae
Source: RefSeq, a predicted model, not a curated record